Molecule: ribosomal RNA, 553 nt
Filed under: uncultured Actinomycetes bacterium
Lineage: Bacteria; Bacillati; Actinomycetota; Actinomycetes
Description: bacterial SSU rRNA
Rfam family: Bacterial small subunit ribosomal RNA
Source: RNAcentral
GCUUAACACAUGCAAGUCGAACGAUGAAGCUGGAGCUUGCUCCGGUGGAUUAGUGGCGAACGGGUGAGUAACACGUGAGAAAUCUGCCCCUGACUCUGGGAUAACUGCGGGAAACUGUAGCUAAUACCGGAUACUUUCCCUGGUGGGCAUCCACUGGGGAAGAAAGAAUUUCGGUCAGGGAGGAUCUCGCGGCCUAUCAGCUAGUUGGUGAGGUAACGGCUCACCAAGGCGACGACGGGUAACCGGCCUGAGAGGGUGACCGGUCACACUGGGACUGAGACACGGCCCAGACUCCUACGGGAGGCAGCAGUGGGGAAUAUUGCACAAUGGGCGCAAGCCUGAUGCAGCAACGCCGCGUGAGGGAUGAAGGCCUUCGGGUUGUAAACCUCUUUUAGCAGGGAAGAAGCGAAAGUGACGGUACCUGCAGAAAAGCACCGGCUAACUACGUGCCAGCAGCCGCGGUAAUACGUAGGGUGCAAGCGCUGUCCGGAAUUAUUGGGCGUAAAGAGCUCGUAAGCGGUUUGUCACGUCUGCUGUGAAAUUUCGAGGCUCA